CGGUUGGGAGGUCCGCCGAUGUGGACCGCUGGGGUCUCGUACCCCGCCCGGCCGC
This 55-nucleotide non-coding RNA is filed under the name unclassified sequences. RNAcentral describes it as "DUF3800-VI RNA". It matches the Rfam family "DUF3800-VI RNA". Rfam says of the family: Actinobacteria, Planctomycetes, Proteobacteria, Spirochaetes. Nearby to DUF3800 The record is from RNAcentral.